Molecule: ribosomal RNA, 224 nt
Filed under: uncultured bacterium
Lineage: Bacteria
Description: partial 16S ribosomal RNA
Rfam family: Bacterial small subunit ribosomal RNA
Source: RNAcentral
CGAAUCUCGAAAGCCUGUCUCAGUUCGGAUUGGAGGCUGAAGCCCGCCACCAUGAAGUUGGAUUCGCUAGUAAUCGCGCAUCAGCCAUGGCGCGGUGAAUACGUUCCCGGGCCAUGUACACACCGCCCGUCAAGCCAUGGGAGCCGGGGGUGCCUGAAGUUCGUGACCGCAAGGAGCGACCUAGGGCAAAACUGGUGACUGGGGCUAAGUCGUAACAAGGUAUC